AAAUAAUUAAAUCUAGCUAGCCCAAACUAUUAUAUAUUGAGCCCACUUGCUUUUUGAUUAACUAGCCCACUUCAAUUUAGAUUAAGCCCAUGAAGGAUUUUGUGUUUGGCGUAAAACGAGAUUAGGUUUAAACGAGUUGCCAUAAUUUGUUUUGUUCAUUUGAUCGGCCGCAUACUCUUGUUCUCGAAAAUCCAGAACUCAAAAUGAGCCCAAAAAGAAAAUCGUCCACAUUUUGUCAAAGACUUUGCCAUAAUUUGUAAUAGAGCUCCAUCUUUUCAUCUGAUAUCCCGAGUCCUUUGCUAACCUCCAAAAUCUGAAAGUCCUGAGCCUCCGUGCCCGUUUCUCGGUUGUUGCUGGGGGUAUAAGGUGGAGCGAGGCGGGGCUGUCGACUAUGGGGUGGAACCGGAGGUGGUGGUGAACCGAAAAUCGUAGCAGCAGAGGGCGAUUUCGGAGGAGAGUGUCUGGGUGUUUGAAGAUGGCUCGUAUGGUUCUUGGUUUAUAAACCGGUGACUGGAAAUGGAGGUAUGAAGAAACACAAUGGUUCACCCGAUUCUUUCUUUCUUUUUUAUUGUUCUUCGAAAUUUCAGCAAAAAAAAAAACACCUUCCUUCUUUUUUGAUUAUGCUCGUCAGCUUCAAGAAAAAAAAGAGAUCUGAUUGCUUCUUCCUUGUUCGAGAUUUUCAGAUAAAUCAAAUAUCCUUCUUCUUACUUCCUUACAAUUUUUUUUUUCUGUUGCAGGUUUUCCUGAUGAAGAAGAUAAACAGUGGCUGUGAGGGUUAUGGAAAUGGAAGGCAGCAGGUCUACGGUUUUGGCUAGAAGCAAGGCAAAGUCUGGUCUCCGGUUGGGACUAUCCGAGAGGAAAGGCGGAAGGGGAGCAGCAGCGAGAGGGGAGUUUCUGCGAGGGGAGGGGUUUCUGCGAAAAUGAGAUUUGCGAAGGUGAGGUUUUUUCUGCGAGGAUUGGAUGCUGCGAGGCUCGAGGGUUCUCGGGAGGGCUGUGAGAGGAUUUCGGAUGAGCAGCUUUGAGGAUGAGCAACUUAAGGUUCAGAGAGACUUCUCGGUACGGGGUGAAGGGCUUGCGAGAGGGGUGUGCUAGGGUUUUAGCAGGUCUCGGGAGUGAAAGCAAGCUGCUAGGAGUGUUUGAGCAUUUUUUUAUAAUUGUUCUUGGUUUUUUUUUUUUUUUUUUUUUUUUUUUUUUUUUUUUUUNNNNNNNNNNNNNNNNNNNNNNNNNCACAUCUUUUUUUUUUUUUUUUUUUUUUUUUUUUUUUUUUUUGAUGAUUGCUUCUGGGUUUAUGUUUCCA
This 1297-nucleotide long non-coding RNA is filed under the name Lactuca sativa (garden lettuce). Its description in RNAcentral is "long non-coding RNA (LSAT_LNC000216)". The record is from RNAcentral. Lineage: Eukaryota; Viridiplantae; Streptophyta; Magnoliopsida; Asterales; Asteraceae.